ACAGUUUUGCAAAACGUUUGGAUUAGUAGCAAACUACACGAUUAGCUGUGUUAAAAUUUAAAUCGUGUGGAAUUGAGGAGUAACUCAAUGUGUUGCUCGCUUUUUUAGCUAGCAAGUCGUUGGAAAUAGCUUUAGCUAUUCAACUAGGCUAACGUUAGUGAAAGUAAACAAACCAAGAAACCCAGCUACUACUAGCUGAUGUGUCAUCAAGGCGCUUUGCUGAAAUAGACUUAUAAAAACCUAACAAUGCAGUGCAACAAUGUGACAACUAUCCCCAAAGGGCUACUGCAGCUUCGAGACAGUUUGAGUAGCAUGAUGGACAGCCUGUACUGUGACCCCAAGGUGGCAGCGCUGAUGAACACAUCAAUGGGGCAGUACCUCAAUGGCCACCCAUUCUUAGCCCUGGCUGUGUUGGUAUUUGGCGCCAUGGCCACUGUACCCAUUGGGAUUUCCUGACCUUUGCCACUGUUACAUUCAUUGGUGCCACUGUGGGUUUCGUUUUAUUGGAGGUGUUUCUGCUAUCCCUAGGAGGGGUCAGUCUGCUGUGUGUGCUCUCUGCUCUGGCCAUCCUCUCCAUCCUGGUCUCCUUGGUCCUCGGUGCCUGUUACAUUACCUCUUACAAUGUGCUCAACUUCUACUACAGCCAGCGUGUCAGUAGGUACCGAGUCACUAGGUUGGAGCCUGCGACAAAUAUAACAGUCAUGGAACAAGAUGGGUGUGUUCAACUUAAC
Molecule: long non-coding RNA, 731 nt
Organism: Oncorhynchus kisutch (coho salmon)
Lineage: Eukaryota; Metazoa; Chordata; Actinopteri; Salmoniformes; Salmonidae
Exons: 5
Source: RefSeq, a predicted model, not a curated record